This 468-nucleotide ribosomal RNA is filed under the name uncultured bacterium. RNAcentral describes it as "partial 16S ribosomal RNA". It matches the Rfam family "Bacterial small subunit ribosomal RNA", at positions 28 to 507 of the family's 1533-position model. The record is from RNAcentral.
GACGAACGCUGGCGGCGUGCUUAACACAUGCAAGUCGAACGGAAAGGCCCUGCUUUUGUGGGGUGCUCGAGUGGCGAACGGGUGAGUAACACGUGAGUAACCUGACCUUGACUUUGGGAUAACUUCAGGAAACUGGGGCUAAUACCGGAUAGGAGCUCCUGCUGCAUGGUGGGGGUUGGAAAGUUUCGGCGGUUGGGGCUGGACUCGCGGCUGAUCAGCUUGUUGGUGGGGUAGUGGCUUACAAAGGCUUUGACGGGUAGCCGGCCUGAGAGGGUGACCGGCCACAUUGGGACUGAGAUACGGCCGAGACUCCUACGGGAGGCAGCAGUGGGGAAUAUUGCACAAUGGGCGGAAGCCUGAUGCAGCAACGCCGCGUGCGGGAUGACGGCCUUCGUUUUGUAAACCGCUUUCGCCUGUGACGAAGCGUGAGUGACGGUAAUGGGUAAAGAAGCACCGGCUAACUACGUG